GAAGGCAGUUAGGCUGCAGUGAAUUCUACAAAGAGGCUAUGGGAAAGAAACCUGGAAAGUACCCUUGGCUGUGUACAUUUGAGUAAAGAGAGCACUAUAAAAUCAAAAACCAAUGAAAUGGUUUCCAGAACACAGAACUAUUAAGCUUAAGAAAAGGACAGAAGGAACUGAAGAGAGAGGAACUGUUUUGGAGCAUCACACUUCCACCUCAGAAGAAAUAAGGAAGGAAGGAGGAGGGUGUUCCCACGGCUCUUCAACCAGGCCGGCUCUUCAGCCUACAUCCCCAUCUCAUCAAGUAAAAGGGAUUUUUCAACUGGACCAACCAGAUGGUUUAACAGUGCACUCCCACACCAUUCAACUACGCAAGGGAGAUACACUUAACAUAUGCAGUCGUAUAACACCUACUAACAUUUUCAAACAUUAAACCUUUAAAAAAGAGUUCUAAAGAAAUAGAAGCUUGAAGUAUCAUCUCUCAAGUAUAUAGACACUACUUCAUGGUGUGGUAAUAUAUGCAUAUAGAAGCUAGUAAACACCUCCAGGAGAUGCAAAAGGAAUUAGAACUGCCACAAGGUGCAAGCAAAACCUUGAGUCUCCAUUGAUGGUGAAGUAUUUUCACUAUUUGGCAUGUCUUCUCUAGUACCUAGAGCAGUGCGUUGCAUGCAGUAGCAGGUUUAUAAACAUUUGCGAGUAAAACAUCCAACCUGAUACUCAAGGUAAUCAAUCUGCAUCCCAUUUUGGAUGAGAAUAUUUGCAACUUUGAAGGUUAUUUUAAGGACAGCAGCAGAAGAAUUAUGGCAGGUAUCUGAAAUUCAUUUCUGUGCUUUGCCGAGGACCCAUGGGAUGCCAUUUGCAGAUGAGAAAACUAAAGAAUAGCUUUAUCUUCCAGCUCUUCACGGAAAAAAAAAUGGCAACAAUAAAAUCAGCAACUCCUGCCAAAUAAAUGGGCAUAAAAAAGAAAUCAUAGACUGCUGGCAAUGGUGGGGAAAAAGUUAUAAAAAUUGUCUCUGCACCAUCUUCCUUUUGUCCUCUAAAAUAUUCACAUUAGCAAAAGUAUAUAACAGCUGAUGAAGAAAUACUGAUAAUUUGUCUUUGGGACUAGCUUCAGUAUUUUGGCUUCUUUUUGCUUCUUUGCAACAAAUUGGGAGACAAAGGUGGGAAAGUUUUUUUCAAUAAGUUAAUAAUUUUUUAAAGGUCAAAAUUUUGUUCUUUGCUUAUAUUAGAAUUAAACACUGUGAGAUUCUCUCUGA
This 1247-nucleotide long non-coding RNA is filed under the name Homo sapiens (human). Its description in RNAcentral is "long intergenic non-protein coding RNA 343". The record is from RNAcentral. Lineage: Eukaryota; Metazoa; Chordata; Mammalia; Primates; Hominidae.